UGCGUAGGGUGCGAGCGUUAAUCGGAAUUACUGGGCGUAAAGCGUGCGCAGGCGGUUCGUUGUGUCGGUGGUGAAAUCCCCGGGCUUAACCUGGGAAUGGCCAUGGAAACUGGCGAACUGGAGUGCGGCAGAGGGGGGUGGAAUUCCGCGUGUAGCAGUGAAAUGCGUAGAGAUGCGGAGGAACACCGAUGGCGAAGGCAGCCCCCUGGGCUAGCACUGACGCUCAGGCACGAAAGCGUGGGGAGCAAACAGG
Molecule: ribosomal RNA, 253 nt
Filed under: uncultured bacterium
Lineage: Bacteria
Description: partial 16S ribosomal RNA
Rfam family: Bacterial small subunit ribosomal RNA
Source: RNAcentral